RNAcentral lists this ribosomal RNA (477 nucleotides) under uncultured bacterium. RNAcentral describes it as "bacterial SSU rRNA". It matches the Rfam family "Bacterial small subunit ribosomal RNA", at positions 29 to 524 of the family's 1533-position model. The record is from RNAcentral.
AGUGAACGCUGGCGGCGUGCUUAACACAUGCAAGUCGAACGAGAACGGUCCUUCGGGAUGUCAGCUAAGUGGCGGACGGGUGAGUAAUGUAUAGUUAAUCUGCCCUUUAGAGAGGAAUAACUACUGGAAACGGUAGCUAAUACCUCAUACUCCUUUAAUCUUAAUGGUUAUUGGGAAAUGUUUUUUCGCUAAAGGAUGAGACUAUAUGGUAUCAGGUAGUUGGUGGGGUAAGAGCCUACCAAGCCAAUGACGCCUAGCUGGUCUGAGAGGAUGAUCAGCCACACUGGAACUGAGACACGGUCCAGACUCCUACGGGAGGCAGCAGUGGGGAAUAUUGCACAAUGGGGGAAACCCUGAUGCAGCAACGCCGCGUGGAGGAUGACGCAUUUCGGUGUGUAAACUCCUUUUAUAUGGGAAGAUAAUGACGGUACCAUAUGAAUAAGCACCGGCUAACUCCGUGCCAGCAGCCGCGGUAAU